CAUGCUGUAAACGAUGAUAACUAGAUGUGUGAGGUAUUGACCCCUUGCGUAUCGAAGCAAACGCGAUAAGUUAUCCGCCUGGGAAGUACGGCCGCAAGGUUAAAACUCAAAGGAAUUGACGGGGGCCCGCACAAGCGGUGGAGCAUGUGGUUUAAUUCGACGCAACGCGAAGAACCUUACCUAGGCUUGACAUGUAUCGAAGGUUUUGGAAACAGAAUUGUGCCCGCAAGGGAGCGAUAACACAGGUGC
RNAcentral lists this ribosomal RNA (249 nucleotides) under uncultured bacterium. RNAcentral describes it as "partial 16S ribosomal RNA". It matches the Rfam family "Bacterial small subunit ribosomal RNA", at positions 796 to 1041 of the family's 1533-position model. The record is from RNAcentral.